RNAcentral lists this ribosomal RNA (468 nucleotides) under uncultured bacterium. RNAcentral describes it as "partial 16S ribosomal RNA". It matches the Rfam family "Bacterial small subunit ribosomal RNA", at positions 28 to 507 of the family's 1533-position model. The record is from RNAcentral.
GACGAACGCUGGCGGCGUGCUUAACACAUGCAAGUCGAACGGAAAGGCCCUGCUUUUGUGGGGUGCUCGAGUGGCGAACGGGUGAGUAACACGUGAGUAACCUGCCCUUGACUUUGGGAUAACUUCAGGAAACUGGGGCUAAUACCGGAUAGGAGCUCCUGCUGCAUGGUGGGGGUUGGAAAGUUUCGGCGGUUGGGGAUGGACUCGCGGCUUAUCAGCUUGUUGGGGGGGUAGUGGCUUACCAAGGCUUUGACGGGUAGCCGGCCUGAGAGGGUGAACGGCCACCUUGGGACUGAGGGACGGCCCAGACUCCUACGGGACGCAGCAGUGGGGAAUAUUGCACAAUGGGCGGACGCCUGAUGCAGCAACGCCGCGUGCGGGAUGACGGCCUUCGGGUUGUAAACCGCUUUCGCCUGUGACGAAGCGUGAGUGACGGUAAUGGGUAAAGAAGCACCGGCUAACUACGUG